CCUACGUGAGGCAGCAGUGGGGGAUAUUGCACAAUGGGGGAAACCCUGAUGCAGCGACGCCGCGUGUGGGAAGACGGUCCUCUGGAUUGUAAACCACUGUCCCCAGGGACGAAGAUGACGGUACCUGGGGAGGAAGCUCCGGCUAACUACGUGCCAGCAGCCGCGGUAAUACGUAGGGAGCGAGCGUUGUCCGGAAUUACUGGGUGUAAAGGGAGCGUAGGCGGGACUGCAAGUUGGGUGUCAAAUCUACCGGCUCAACCGGUAGCCGCACUCAAAACUGCAGUUCUUGAGUGAAGUAGAGGCAGGCGGAAUUCCUAGUGGAGCGGUGAAAGGCGUAGAUAUUAGGAGGAACACCAGUGGCGAAGGCGGCCUGCUGGGCUUUUACUGACGCUGAGGCUCGAAAGUGUGGGGAGCAAACAGGAUUAGAUACCCUAGUAGUC
This 440-nucleotide ribosomal RNA is filed under the name uncultured bacterium. RNAcentral describes it as "partial 16S ribosomal RNA". It matches the Rfam family "Bacterial small subunit ribosomal RNA", at positions 338 to 795 of the family's 1533-position model. The record is from RNAcentral.